This is a long non-coding RNA of Syngnathoides biaculeatus (alligator pipefish), 296 nucleotides long. RefSeq lists it as uncharacterized. The record is from RefSeq and is a predicted model, not a curated record. The transcript is spliced from 3 exons. NCBI's taxonomy places the organism in Eukaryota, Metazoa, Chordata, Actinopteri, Syngnathiformes, Syngnathidae.
CCUCUGCUCCCAAUCAGGUCGGGAGCCAUCCACCUCGGUUGUAGGCUGGUAAAGUUGCCGCGGCACUCCAGAGGAGAUACGAAAGAGGGAAAGUUGACUUGUAAGAACCAGUACAGUGGGACCUUGAACUCAAUGUUCUUCAAGUUGCAGGCAUCCGGCGUAAAAACUGUCCCAAACAACGCAAAUUUGACAUUCAAGCAAGUUUUGGAGCCGCUGCAGCUGGGUUCUGUCUGGCCAGAGGCGUAACAAGAGCGGCCAGGGGCAGACGGGCCCGUAGAGCGGUGGGACCAUCCUGA